This 253-nucleotide ribosomal RNA is filed under the name uncultured bacterium. Its description in RNAcentral is "partial 16S ribosomal RNA". It matches the Rfam family "Bacterial small subunit ribosomal RNA", at positions 524 to 776 of the family's 1533-position model. The record is from RNAcentral.
GACGUAGGGCGCGAGCGUUGUCCGGAAUUAUUGGGCGUAAAGAGCUUGUAGGCGGUCUGUCGCGUCUGCUGUGAAAAUCCGGGGCUCAACCCCGGACUUGCAGUGGGUACGGGCAGACUAGAGUGUGGUAGGGGAGACUGGAAUUCCUGGUGUAGCGGUGAAAUGCGCAGAUAUCAGGAGGAACACCGAUGGCGAAGGCAGGUCUCUGGGCUGACACUGACGCUCAUGCACGAAAGCGUGGGGAGCAAACAGG